Molecule: ribosomal RNA, 253 nt
Filed under: uncultured bacterium
Lineage: Bacteria
Description: partial 16S ribosomal RNA
Rfam family: Bacterial small subunit ribosomal RNA
Source: RNAcentral
UACGUAGGGGGCAAGCGUUGUUCGGAAUUACUGGGCGUAAAGCGCGCGCAGGCGGCUCUUCAAGUCAGGGGUGAAAGCCCAGAGCUCAACUCUGGAACUGCCUUUGAGACUGAAGAGCUUGAGUACGGGAGAGGUGAGUGGAAUUCCCAGUGUAGAGGUGAAAUUCGUAGAUAUUGGGAAGAACACCGGUGGCGAAGGCGGCUCACUGGCCCGUUACUGACGCUCAGGCGCGACAGCGUGGGGAUCAAACAGG